Rattus norvegicus (Norway rat) is the source of this 2421-nucleotide long non-coding RNA. RefSeq lists it as uncharacterized. The record is from RefSeq and is a predicted model, not a curated record. Lineage: Eukaryota; Metazoa; Chordata; Mammalia; Rodentia; Muridae.
GGUGCCCCCAAAUCCAUGCCUAGGUUCCCUUCCUUCCAACCCUGUGACUGGCUCAGAUUUCCAGCAACUGGCACAUGGGUGACUGGGAGUAGAAGUAUGCAGAUGAAUGUUUGUCCUCUAAGCUUUGCUGAGGACCAUCCUGCUCCAACAGUCACCUCUGCCCCUUGUUUCUGGCACCAAGAUGCCUGCCAGGAGGAAGGGACUGGGCAGGGGAGGAAGUCCAGGCCACCACAGCAAGCACGGGCGGCUGAUUUCCAAGAAACUAGCAAGGGACAGGAAAGUCUAGGCAAGGCUGUCAGACGGCUUUUGCUUUCAGUUUUCAGGGUCAGAUCGGAGCGGGUGCCCAGACUUCUUGACUGAGCAGCGCAGGGCGCUCUGUUUUAUGGGAUCAAGGCCACAGCAUCUCUAAUGGUCGCCACGAAGCCCAGAGCUAGGCACUGGGGGCUGGGACUGUGGACUGGCUCUGACACCGUUCUGUCCCUUAUCUGUUUGCCCUUUCUCUUAUCUGCACCCCGAAUCAGUCGGCUCAUCCCUCGUUUAUUCAUGCCUGCCUCCCUCCUGCCACGUGUCCCACACUCUAUCUUCAGUUUUUCCUUCUUCGGUCUUAUCUCUCUCUCUCUCUUCCUGCUCUCCUCAGCUUCCUCCCCUCCUCCCGAGUUUCUCCUUCUUCCCCUUGCUUCCUUUCCCGCAUUCUCCGUCCUUCCUCCCUCUCUGACUCUUUCCCUUCUGCUUCCCUACAUCUCUCCCCCCCCCCACAUCUCUGUCUCCCCCACCUCUCUUCUCGGUCCCAGAUUUCACAGACUCCAUUACUCAGAGGAGACAGUUUUGUAUGUUUCCUUUUUUUUUUUUUUUUUUUUUGGUUCUUUUUUUCGGAGCUGGGGACCGAACCCAGGGCCUUGUGCUUCCUAGGCAAGCGCUCUACCACUGAGCUAAAUCCUCAACCCCUGUAUGUUUCCUUUUUGAGAUAGGGUCUCACGGAGUACAGGCUGACGUCGAACUUACCAGAUUAGGAAAUCCCCCCGGGCAUGCUGUGAAACAACUUGUCUGUUCACCUAUGUCUGAAGGAGAGCCUGCUUCUGACCUGUGACGUGAGAUGCCAACAGUGCCAUGUGCCAAUCAGAAGGCCCAGGCGACGGGUGACUGUUUUAAAAGGUGGCCUGAACUGGUGAGUACCAGGACAAGCCAGGCGGCAAUGAGGCCUCAGCCUGUUUCCCAGGCAGGUCCAAGUGUUAAACAUGGUUCCCUACUAGCCCCGCCACCUGGAAUCUUGUGCUGGGGGUCUGCACAGCACCAGUAGUAUUCUCGACAUGAGUCUGCCCUUUGCCCUGCUAGACUGAAAAGCAGCAAGAGGAGAACCUCAUUCAUCCACACAGCAGGGUUGGGGCUAAACAAGAAGGAAAAGAGGACCAACAAGACAAGUCCUCCAUGCUCUCACCACACUUCUCUGAAGGACCGGCCACCCUGGGCUAGAGGACCACAGCCCUUCUAACGUUCCAGAGAAAACCUGGACAGUAUCAGCAUGCCCAGAGCAGCUGCUUCCUCUGACAGGAUCAUGAAGCAUUAGGAAAAUCACUAGAAGCAUGUCACAGGCUGCAGGAGUCCCAGAUGAUGUGGGAUAUGCCCACAAGGUUACUUAGCCCCCCUGAUGACCGGCAAGCCUCAGAGCCAGUGCCCUACAUGUGUCCUGGAACAGCCCUUCCAGCUGGGCUCCUGACGGUAUAAUUGCUUCAGAGACCCACAGAGGCGAAGGGAAUUGCCCAAGCCCCCAGCAGCACCCAGGGCCCUGCCACCACAGACCACAAAGCAGCUUUCCGGCUCCAAAAAAGCACACAGGCUGAGUGGGGAGAGGAGCAACAACCAGAGCGGCUCAUCGUCCCCACUGAAAUACUUGAUGGCUUGCAGAACUGCCACUUCUUCCAAAAACUCGGUGAGCCCUGGCCGCUCUGCCCCACCCUCUUCCUGGAAGUAGUUGUGGUCAGAGAAGCAAAGAAGUUUCCUCUCUGUCAUCCAUUUCAAAUUGAUACAGGAUGGACAGUUAAAAGGCCCACCUCUCCACUCCAGGAGCGGCCUAUCACCAAUUACCUGUCUCUCAGUUUUCUCCUCUGUAUACUGGGGGCAACACAGUACUCAGGGUCAAGGGCUGCCCCUGUAGGGCUCAAGACCAGGCAUGAUACUCAGGGGAGCUCAGACUGGAGCGGCCAUCUUCCCAAUCAUAAACCAAAACUAGCCUGGAAGUUUGGUUCCCAGUACUGUGGGUGGAGCUGUACAAGAUGCCUGGUCCCCAGCAUCCCCAAGACUUCAAGAAAGUCAAUCUGUAUACCGCCGCUCCCAACCCAGGACGUUUGGCCAAAGCAUACAUACGCUCUAGAAAUCUUUGUUUCUUUAAAAAAAAAACUUUCAUAAUAAAGUUUAUUAUCUAAA